Ahaetulla prasina is the source of this 151-nucleotide long non-coding RNA. RefSeq lists it as uncharacterized. The transcript is spliced from 3 exons. The record is from RefSeq and is a predicted model, not a curated record. NCBI's taxonomy places the organism in Eukaryota, Metazoa, Chordata, Lepidosauria, Squamata, Colubridae.
GGAGAAAGGAGUAUUGCGUGUGUUUGACUUGAAUUAUAACAAUGAAAAAGCUCGCCUCCAAAUUCAUUGGCUCCUGUGUCUUUCUCCUGGCUUGGAACCAGACCGGAUUUUACUUCCAACAGUCCCUGCCUUGCGAUACAUACUGCGUUUC